CAACUCGACUGCAUGAAGCUGGAAUCGCUAGUAAUCGCAGAUCAGAAUGCUGCGGUGAAUACGUUCCCGGGUCUUGUACACACCGCCCGUCACACCAUGGGAGGUUGGGAAUGCCCGAAGCCGGUGACCUAACCGAAAGGAAGGAGGCCGUCGAAGGCGGGCUCGAUAACUGGGGUGAAGUCGUAACAAGGUAUC
This 195-nucleotide ribosomal RNA is filed under the name uncultured bacterium. Its description in RNAcentral is "partial 16S ribosomal RNA". It matches the Rfam family "Bacterial small subunit ribosomal RNA", at positions 1308 to 1500 of the family's 1533-position model. The record is from RNAcentral.